GGAUGUAGCCAAGUGGAUCAAGGCAGU
Molecule: transfer RNA, 27 nt
Filed under: Acer rubrum (red maple)
Lineage: Eukaryota; Viridiplantae; Streptophyta; Magnoliopsida; Sapindales; Sapindaceae
Also listed under: 4 other names
Description: partial tRNA-His
Source: RNAcentral